RNAcentral lists this non-coding RNA (100 nucleotides) under Pseudacidovorax intermedius. RNAcentral's name for it is "Glycine sequence". It matches the Rfam family "Glycine riboswitch aptamer". Rfam says of the family: This family represents the bacterial glycine riboswitch. The record is from Rfam by way of RNAcentral. Lineage: Bacteria; Pseudomonadati; Pseudomonadota; Betaproteobacteria; Burkholderiales; Comamonadaceae.
CGCGCUUCGUCAGGAGAGAGCCCCGCGCGACGGGGCCGCCGAAGGCGCAGGAUUCCGCAAAGGCUUCCGAACGCUCAGGCAAAAGGACUGGCGGCACGCC